RNAcentral lists this ribosomal RNA (329 nucleotides) under uncultured eukaryote. RNAcentral describes it as "partial 18S ribosomal RNA". It matches the Rfam family "Eukaryotic small subunit ribosomal RNA", at positions 1470 to 1796 of the family's 1831-position model. The record is from RNAcentral.
CCCUUAGAUGUUCUGGGCCGCACGCGCGCUACACUGAUGCAUUCAACGAGUCUAAAACCUGCUCUGAUAGGGGUGGGUAAUCUUUUGAAUGUGCAUCGUGAUUGGGUUAGAUGAUUGCAAUUUUUCAUCUUCAACGAGGAAUGCCUAGUAAACGCAAGUCAUCAGCUUGCAUUGAUUACGUCCCUGCCCUUUGUACACACCGCCCGUCGCUCCUACCGAUUGAAUGAUCCGAUGAAUAUCAUGGAUUGAGGAUGCAAGCAGGUUCGCCUGUCUUCAUCUUCGAGAAGUGAAGUAAAUCUUAUCAUUUAGAGGAAGGAGAAGUCGUAACA